Phanerochaete sordida is the source of this 74-nucleotide non-coding RNA. Lineage: Eukaryota; Fungi; Basidiomycota; Agaricomycetes; Polyporales; Phanerochaetaceae. The record is from the annotation of a GenBank genome assembly.
GGCGGUGUAGCUCAAUCGGAUAGAGCGUCAGACUCUUAAUCUGAAGGCUGCGAGUUCGACCCUCGCGGUGGGCU